CGGGGCGAUGCCGGGCGCUCGCCGGGCGGCAGCAGCUGCGGGGUGGGCUUCACCUUGGCGGUGGCGUGAGGGGCCGCCGGGCCUUGUGGGGACGAGGGUCGUGCCUUGCCGGGGGUCUGCGGCGGUGUCAGCUGCCCGGCGGAGGCCGGGAAGGGCUGCCGGGGCUUGCCGGGCACCGGGGGCACGCUGGCGCGUUUCACAGGGUGGCCGUGCCGGGGCGGGCGGCUCUCCUUGGGCGGCGCAGGGGGGCUCUCCCCGGCCCCCUCCGCCAGGUACUCCUGGCUCUUGGAGAUGGCGGCGGCGGGGGCGCCCCGCGGGCCGUCCCCCAGCAGCUCCUGCGAGCUGCUCAUCAGCCGGGCGCGUCCGCCCAGCCCCGGCGGCGAGCGGUAACCGGGGGCCGCAGGGUUCGUCGCCUUCUCGGGGGGCUCCUCGGGACCUUCCCCUGUCAUGGCCACCUGCAGCUCGCUGCUGAGCUCGCUGUCCUGGAAGGUGGUCAUCUUGGGCGACUGGCACUCAGGCGGCUCUGGCGGGGGCGACUCGAUGGCGAGCACCUCUGGGCUCGGCCCCGACACCUUCCUCUUCAGCGUGCCCGGCUCGUACUUGCCCAGCUCGGCGCGCUGCAGUUCCGCCAGCUUCUUCACCGCCAGCAUCAGCUUCUUCUGGUGGCCUGUGGGCGGCACAUGCCGUCAGUGUCACCGCCGAGGCCGCCGCAGCCAGCGCCGCGCACGGGGCCUUACCCAGCUUGGUGAUGCCGAUCUCCUGCAGGUCCUCCCAGGUGAUGUCGGUGAUGAAGUCGAUGUUCUCGUAGCCGUUCUCCACCAGCACCUUGUAGUACUGGGACAGGCCGAUCAUGGAGAGCCACAGCGCCAGCCACUCGGGGAUGUUGAGGUUGUUGAUCUCGGAGGCGAUCUUCUUCCUGUGCCCCGGCUUGGUGACCCCGAUGGCCGUGAGGUCCUGGGGCAGAGAGGGGGAUCAGUGCCACCCUGCUCCGGCCGUGCCUCCCUCCCACCGCCCCCGGCCCCACCUCCGGCGUCAUGCGGCUGAUGGUGGUGAUGUCGUAGCCGGCGUUGAUGAAGUUGGGAGCGUAGAGCUGCAGCUGGAACUUGCAGAGCCACUGGUACACGGUCUCCGAGCUCUGGGGUGAGAGGGGACACAGGGAUGGGGGCCGCUCCGGGGAUGGGGACCCGCCACUCCUGCCCAGGUCCCCCAGGCUGUACCCACCACAGCUCCUCGCUCACCUUCCCCUCUGAUGGCGGCUCCAUCUUCUUCAGCUGGGGCUCGGCGGGGGGCUGGGGGGCGUACGGGGAGCUGGCCACGCUCUGCGACCGCGACGAACCUGCCGGAGGGGCAGCGGUCAGCGCGGCCGGGGCUGCCCAGCCCCGCGCUCUGGCCAAGUGGAAGGGAGAG
RNAcentral lists this long non-coding RNA (1407 nucleotides) under Chloebia gouldiae (Gouldian finch). RNAcentral's name for it is "Erythrura gouldiae (Gouldian finch) lncRNA (ENSEGOG00005013015.1)". Lineage: Eukaryota; Metazoa; Chordata; Aves; Passeriformes; Passeridae. The record is from RNAcentral.